This 253-nucleotide ribosomal RNA is filed under the name uncultured bacterium. Its description in RNAcentral is "partial 16S ribosomal RNA". It matches the Rfam family "Bacterial small subunit ribosomal RNA", at positions 524 to 776 of the family's 1533-position model. The record is from RNAcentral.
UACGGAGGUGGCUAGCGUUGUUCGAAAUUACUGGGCGUAAAGCGCACGUAGGCGGCUUUGUAAGUUAGAGGUGAAAGCCUGGAGCUCAACUCCAGAAUUGCCGUUAAGACUGCAUCGCUUGAAUACAGGAGAGGUGAGUGGAAUUCCGAGUGUAGAGGUGAAAUUCGUAGAUAUUCGGAAGAACACCAGUGGCGAAGGCGGCGCACUGGACUGGUAUUGACGCUGAGGUGCGAAAGCGUGGGGAGCAAACAGG